RNAcentral lists this ribosomal RNA (466 nucleotides) under uncultured bacterium. RNAcentral describes it as "partial 16S ribosomal RNA". It matches the Rfam family "Bacterial small subunit ribosomal RNA", at positions 28 to 506 of the family's 1533-position model. The record is from RNAcentral.
GACGAACGCUGGCGGCGUGCUUAACACAUGCAAGUCGAACGGAAAGGCCUAGCUUGCUGGGUACUCGAGUGGCGAACGGGUGAGUAACACGUGGGUGAUCUGCCCCUGACUUUGGGAUAAGCCUGGGAAACUGGGUCUAAUACCGGAUAUUCAUUUUUCCUCGCAUGGGGAUUUGUGGAAAGCUUUUGCGGUUGGGGAUGGGCCCGCGGCCUAUCAGCUUGUUGGUGGGGUAAUGGCCUACCAAGGCGACGACGGGUAGCCGACCUGAGAGGGUGAUCGGCCACACUGGGACUGAGACACGGCCCAGACUCCUACGGGAGGCAGCAGUGGGGAAUAUUGCACAAUGGGCGCAAGCCUGAUGCAGCGACGCCGCGUGAGGGAUGACGGCCUUCGGGUUGUAAACCUCUUUCAGCUCCGACGAAGCGCAAGUGACGGUAGGAGCAGAAGAAGCACCGGCCAACUACGG